RNAcentral lists this ribosomal RNA (397 nucleotides) under uncultured bacterium. Its description in RNAcentral is "partial 16S ribosomal RNA". It matches the Rfam family "Bacterial small subunit ribosomal RNA", at positions 523 to 918 of the family's 1533-position model. The record is from RNAcentral.
AUACGUAGGGGGCGAGCGUUGUCCGGAAUGAUUGGGCGUAAAGGGCGCGUAGGCGGCCCGGUAAGUCUGGAGUGAAAGUCCUGCUUUUAAGGUGGGAAUUGCUUUGGAUACUGUCGGGCUUGGGUGCAGGAGAGGUAAGUGGAAUUCCCAGUGUAGCGGUGAAAUGCGUAGAGAUUGGGAGGAACACCAGUGGCGAAGGCGACUUACUGGACUGUAACUGACGCUGAGGCGCGAAAGUGUGGGGAGCAAACAGGAUUAGAUACCCUGGUAGUCCACACUGUAAACGAUGAAUGCUAGGUGUAGGGGGUAUCGACCCCUUCUGUGCCGCAGUUAACACAAUAAGUAUUCCGCCUGGGGAGUACGGCCGCAAGGUUGAAACUCAAAUGAAUUGACGGGG